UUGCUCACUUUGGCAGCACAUAUGCUAAAAUAAGAAUGAUACAGAGAAGAUUAGCAUGGCCCCUGUGCAAGGAUGACAUGCAAAAUAUUUAGCUCUUCACUAGGUAA
Molecule: small nuclear RNA, 107 nt
Organism: Oryctolagus cuniculus (rabbit)
Lineage: Eukaryota; Metazoa; Chordata; Mammalia; Lagomorpha; Leporidae
Source: Ensembl